Molecule: long non-coding RNA, 1778 nt
Organism: Maylandia zebra (zebra mbuna)
Lineage: Eukaryota; Metazoa; Chordata; Actinopteri; Cichliformes; Cichlidae
Source: RefSeq, a predicted model, not a curated record
GUGAGCAGCCAUAAAGUACAAAGAGAAUUUACCAAGAAGACCAAGAUGAAGAUAACCGGGACAGUUCUCCUAUGUGUCUGUUUGACCUUUAUGUUUUUGGGCAUAGAGGGCCAAGGCACCACAGAUGUCACAACUCCAGCAGUGACCAAUAACAGCACUACGAGUAAUAGCACUCAGCCUGCAGCGACCACACCUCAAUGGAACGCCACUGUUUCUUACACGACAAACACCACCCAUGCCCAAACUCCUAAAACCACAAGAAUACCAUCUGACACCACCUCCCACUCUACAGAUAAUGUCACUUCAUCACAGGGGUCCUCCGUGUCCCCUGGGGCUACUCAAAACCCUGGAACCCCAGCAUCCACCACACAGAAAUCCACAGGGACUACCAGCAAAAAUUUUACCACAAUCUCAUCUACAACGACAAAAGGAGGAUCUGCUCCUUUGUUUGGGUUCUGCAGUCAGCUGCUGGUGUUUGCUGUCACUAUUCUGAUCUGCUGUGCUUUGGAAUGAAUGUAUGAAAGUAUAGAAUCUGCAUUUAAAUCCUUAAAUGCUGUGGAAACAUAUUACAUUAUUAUUACAGCCUCGUAUUAAAUGGCUGCUUCUUUAAGGCUGUGAUGUGCUCUGUUUGCACUGAGUCUUUCUCUGCUUUUACACAAAUAUCCAUAAGUUAUGUAUGACACUGUGCUUCAAAUGUUAAUGCUAUGUUUCAUUCAUAAAUACUAAAAGGGAAUAAAGGAAACCAAUGUUUUUUGGCAAAUAAAGUAAAAUGGUGAUCUUUUGCGGAGGCUGAAGAGUUAAUUGUACUGAACACUUCAGCCAACCUCGGGUUUGUUUUAGCUGAAGGAAACGGCAGUGGUGCACCCACAGCUCCAUUUGCAUGUUGGCUUAACACUAAAAAAGCUAGGCAACAUCACAUUUGAAUUCAUGCUGUUUGUACAGUAGCAUCUUUGUUUCUCUCAUGCCAACAUGUAUUUAUGCAUCUUAUUAUACGUAUAUUAUUAUAUUAUUUGGGGAAAAAUUUAACUACCUCAACUAGAAACUAUACAGAUCAACAUCUAGCAAAAACAAACCAAAAUCUAACAAGACCAAGUCACAAAAUGUUCUGGUGGAGUAUUUGCAAAUUAAAAAUAAUAAUACCAUUUACAGUUUUAUAUAUAUGUAUAUAUAAUUAUGCUAAUACUAGUUCUAGUCGCACCAUAUAACUCAUAUAAGAUAUGAUAUUGAAAUUUUGCAUAAAGUAUAGAUUUUUAUGUCUGUAAGCCAAUCAAUAUCUCAACCUCCCAUUCAGCUUUUGAUAUAGCUGCAAUUGCCAUUUAUCCAUUUUAACAAUAAAGAUCCAUUUUCUUUAUGUCUUAAAACAACCUGUCCUUCACCCCGUACCCUUUCAUCCACCUUUCCUUUUUUCAUGCUAUUACCUCUUGGUCUGACCUGCUCCCUCCCCCCUCAAGUCAUGUUUCAUCAUCUUGUCCUCAUCAACCCCAUCUCCAUGACUCAUUCCUUGCACCCUUCACCUCUCCUUCACCAUAUACCCUUCAUUGUAUUGCAUUCCAUGUUUCUAUAACCUUUCCCAGAUUGUUGGCUAGGAGUAGGUCUCUCACAACACAGGAUGCAUGCCUUGUACUGCUCUGCUGAUGGAAAAGUUGUGAAGUGUUUGUAUAACUGCAAGCUUAAAGGAUGAAAAUACAUAAGCAAAAAUCUUGGUCUAUAACUGGUUAAUGACAUCUGUUGCCUCGUUGGACAAUUCCUCUUUGAUCUGGAAUAAAGAAUAAAUCCAG